GACGAACGCUGGCGGCGUGCUUAACACAUGCAAGUCGAGCGGUAAGGCCCUUUCGGGGGUACGACGAGCGGCGAACGGGUAGAGUAACACGUGGGUGACCUGCCCUCAGCUCUGGGAUAAGCCUGGGAAACCGGGUACUAAUACUGGAUAUGACUCCAUGACGCAUGUUGUGGGGUGGAAAGCCUUGUGCGGCUGAGGAUGGGCCCGCGGCCUAUCAGCUUGUUGGUGGGGUGANGGCCUACCAAGGCGACGACGGGUAGCCGGCCUGAGAGGGCGACCGG
RNAcentral lists this ribosomal RNA (281 nucleotides) under uncultured bacterium. Its description in RNAcentral is "partial 16S ribosomal RNA". It matches the Rfam family "Bacterial small subunit ribosomal RNA", at positions 28 to 307 of the family's 1533-position model. The record is from RNAcentral.